GCUGCGAUGGCUGAGUGGUUAAGGCAUUGGACUUAAAAUCCAAUGGGGUCUCCCCACACAGGUCGUACUCUGCUCACAGUG
RNAcentral lists this transfer RNA (81 nucleotides) under Lepisosteus oculatus (spotted gar). It matches the Rfam family "tRNA". From Rfam's summary of the family: Transfer RNA (tRNA) molecules are approximately 80 nucleotides in length. Their secondary structure includes four short double-helical elements and three loops (D, anti-codon, and T loops). The record is from Rfam by way of RNAcentral. Lineage: Eukaryota; Metazoa; Chordata; Actinopteri; Semionotiformes; Lepisosteidae.